Molecule: ribosomal RNA, 504 nt
Filed under: uncultured bacterium
Lineage: Bacteria
Description: partial 16S ribosomal RNA
Rfam family: Bacterial small subunit ribosomal RNA
Source: RNAcentral
AUUGAACACUGGCGGCACGCCUAACACAUGCAAGUCGAGCGGCAGCGAGAGUAGUAGCAAUACUACUUGUCGGCGAGCGGCGGACGGGUGAGGAACACGUAGGAAUCUACCCAGAAGAGGGGGAUAACCAAGGGAAACUUUGGCUAAUACCGCAUAAUCUCGAGUGAGAAAAGCUGCCCGCAAGGGUGGCGCUUUUGGAGGAGCCUGCGUCCGAUUAGCUAGUCGGUGGGGUAAAGGCCUACCAAGGCGAUGACCGGUAACUGGUCUGAGAGGACGACCAGUCACACUGGGACUGAGACACGGCCCAGACUCCUACGGGAGGCAGCAGUGGGGAAUAUUGGACAAUGGGGGCAACCCUGAUCCAGCGAUGCCGCGUGAGUGAAGAAGGCCUUCGGGUCGUAAAGCUCUUUAGGUUGGGAAGAAGGGUGCGAGGGUAAUAUCCUUGUACUUUGACGGUACCAACAGAAUAAGCACCGGCAAACUCUGUGCCAGCAGCCGCAGUAA